CAAUAGCGUAUAUUAAAGUUGUUGCAGUUAAAAAGCUCGUAGUUGGACCUUGGACCUGGACAGGCGGUCCGCCUCACGGCGUGUACUGUCUUGCUGGGUCUUUCCUCUUGGUGAUCUGUUGUUUCGGCAGCAGGGAACCAGGACUUUUACUUUGAAAAAAUUAGAGUGUUCAAAGCAGGCUCGACGCCGGAAUAUAUUAGCAUGGAAUAAUAAAAUAGGACGUGCGGUUCUAUUUUGUUGGUUUUUGGAAUCGCCGUAAUGAUUAAUAGGGACAGUCGGGGGCAUUAGUACUCACAUGCUAGAGGUGAAACUCUUGGAUUUUGUGAAGACUAACUUCUGCGUAAGCAUUUGCCAAGGAUGUUUUCAUUAA
RNAcentral lists this ribosomal RNA (370 nucleotides) under uncultured eukaryote. RNAcentral describes it as "partial 18S ribosomal RNA". It matches the Rfam family "Eukaryotic small subunit ribosomal RNA", at positions 592 to 976 of the family's 1831-position model. The record is from RNAcentral.